RNAcentral lists this unclassified non-coding RNA (181 nucleotides) under soil metagenome. RNAcentral describes it as "partial contains 5.8S ribosomal RNA, internal transcribed spacer 2, and large subunit ribosomal RNA". The record is from RNAcentral.
AACCUAGCACACCUGCGGUGUGUACCUGCGGAGGGAUCAUUAAUGAUUGACCGAAAGGUCCUAUCUUAACAUCCCUCACCUCUGUGAACCGUUUGACCUCCGGGUCUAACAAACUAUACAAACAUCAGUGUAAUGAACGUCUUGUUAUCUUAACAAAAACAAAACUUUUAACAACGGAUCU